GACGAACGCUGGCGGCGUGCUUAACACAUGCAAGUCGAGCGGUAAGGCCCUUUCGGGGGUACACGAGCGGCGAACGGGUGAGUAACACGUGGGUGACCUGCCCUCAGCUCUGGGAUAAGCCUGGGAAACUGGGUCUAAUACCGGAUAUGACCCCAUGACGCAUGUCGUGGGGUGGAAAGCCUUGUGCGGCUGAGGAUGGGCCCGCGGCCUAUCAGCUUGUUGGUGGGGUGAUGGCCUACCAAGGCGACGACGGGUAGCCGGCCUGAGAGGGCGACCGGCCACACUGGGACUGAGACACGGCCCAGACUCCUACGGGAGGCAGCAGUGGGGAAUCUUGCGCAAUGGGCGAAAGCCUGACGCAGCGACG
RNAcentral lists this ribosomal RNA (367 nucleotides) under uncultured bacterium. Its description in RNAcentral is "bacterial SSU rRNA". It matches the Rfam family "Bacterial small subunit ribosomal RNA", at positions 28 to 396 of the family's 1533-position model. The record is from RNAcentral.